Non-coding RNA from Nicotiana tabacum (common tobacco), 721 nucleotides. Lineage: Eukaryota; Viridiplantae; Streptophyta; Magnoliopsida; Solanales; Solanaceae. The record is from RefSeq and is a predicted model, not a curated record.
CCUUUCUGUCCCUCAUCGUCUCCAACUCAAAGACAUGAAAACCCUAAAUGCGGCCUGCAAAUCUCAGCCAUUCCCACUGGCGUCUGAGCUCCAAACCCCAUCAAAAUUCGACCAUACAACCUCCUUUGCCUCCCCACCCUAUUCCAAAUCCACCAUCGAUUUCCUCCCAAAAUUACCCAAUCCCCUCGAAUUUCAAAUCUCAGAAGGCAGAAGAUUCAAUGUGUUCUCCCUUCUCUGAUUUUUCCUUCAUGUGUUUUUUCCUUGAUAAUAUCACGCAUGAAUCAACUGGCUAUUUGUUUAGUUUCAAGGCAUUUCAUGGCAGCCAACUUUUGGUCAAGCAACCCACGUUCCAAGCUUCUGCUUCAUCUUACUUCUAGGCAGAUGUUGAAGGUUGUGAUAUGGAGCACUAACCGUUGAAGAAAUUCCAGUUAGUGCUCAUGUUACAAUUCUCGCCAUUCACCAAAACCCCUUACCAGUCAUCAAUUUCCCCGAGUCGUCAAUCCCUUUAGUAGACCCUGGUACACCUCUCGAAUUCUGAAAAAUGUAAAAGUGGCUUGUUGGAUUUGAAGAAUGAAGAUCCGCAGAUUUAUUUUUACUUAAUGCUUUCUUUUGUCUUUUCAUGUGACUUGUUAGUUUAUUUCUUUUGUCUCAACAUACUAAAAACUGAUGUCAUACCAUGGACAUUAUAACUUGUAUUGGGAUUAUAUUUGGACUUUUGUUU